Molecule: long non-coding RNA, 1817 nt
Filed under: Stegodyphus dumicola
Lineage: Eukaryota; Metazoa; Arthropoda; Arachnida; Araneae; Eresidae
Description: uncharacterized LOC118204069, transcript variant X2
Source: RNAcentral
GGCGUCCAAAAAAAAAAAAAAAAAAAAAAAAAAAAAACUAGCAGGGUUGGUCGCCAAAAAAUCGCCAAGUUACCAUAAUCCGAAGAUUAACCGAGAGAUGUCUUUAAACAGAAAUUUUUAAGGGGAAUUGACUCCUAUUGCAUUAUGCAGAUAUAGAAAAUUUAUGUUUGGUUGAUUAUAUCAAAGCACAAUAGGGCUGUCUGCCUGAGGAGAGGAAUGCCAUUGUGGAGGUGGUUCUAAAAGAAACUGGCUGGUAUGCACAUUACACAUGGGGGCAACCACGAAAACACCCAUGCAUCCAGCCCAUUUUUCUGGAAUUUAAUCCAGGUCGGAACUGCCAGAGUUGAACAAUUUUACUGCACAACUGUUGGUGGGCUAUACAUUUAGAAAACAAUGAGUCGUGCAUAAUGUAUUGAAUUAUUAUGUAGUAUACUUUAUCUGUUUGGUUAUUCUGCAUUCAUUUGAAUGAACUGCAAAUGGUAUUAAAUACAUCUGUUGCUUAUUUUAAGAUGUGGUGAGAGCAGUGAUAAGAGUAUGAUUUCAUAAAUUAUCUCAUAUGAUAAUUUUCAUGUCAUAAUGUGAUAAUUUGUUAUUUGUGUUUCUAAUUUUUCUCAUUUUUACAGAAACAAAAUAUGUACAGUCUAUAUAUCUGUUCUCAGUUUCUUAAUUUCUUUCUUCCCCAAACUAAAAUUUCAUCUGAGAGGCCAUUAUUAUGAAAGUGUGGAUGAUAUCUUGAAAGUCAUGAUGGACCAGUUGAAGGUGAUCAUACAUGAUGAUUUUCAAUUUUGUUUCAAUUGAAGUUGCAUCUUCAGUAGAGUGUAAGAAACUGUUUCAGAUAUGAUGUGAUAUGGAUUUAUUUCUCUAGGAACAUGGAAAAUGACUGUGAACCACCAGUUUAUUACAAUACAUAUACUGGAACUAGAAUGCAGACAUAUAUGAUGGAUGAAAAAUAUGUAUGUAUGGUAUGUGGGAAAAUGUUCUCUAUGAAGGGCAAUUUAAGUGUUCAUAUGCUUAUACACACAGGAGAACGCCCUCAUCAGUGUGAAUCCUGUCUGAAAGUAUUUAGACAUAGAAAUUCUCUUAAUCGUCAUAAAAGAACUCGACACAGAAGAAUGCUUAUUGGCAAUACUUUGAGUGUUACAUCAUCUUAAUUUGUAAAGUUACAUGUGUGACAGUUAGAAGAUUUUCUUAACAGCAUUACAUCCUUUAGAACAGCAUUGUUCUCACUUCUGCUCAAAUAAGAUUAAGGAUUAUAGAAAAAAACAGAAUAUUUUUAAUAACUUCUGAACAGACCAGUAAUCCACUUGAAUACUUAAAUCAAAUGCAGGUUUUUCAACUCUUUCCAUUCCUUAUCCCCAGGAAAAGAAUUUUCUCAGGAAAUGGAUAACCAUAUAUUUGACUGUAAAAUGUGUUCUUAUGCUACAAAUAAUCGAGGAUAUUUCAACUCUGGAUCUGUCCUAUCUUCUGUAUUGGAAUCAUGUCAUAAGAAAAUGACCAAACAUAUUGUGUCUUGUGAAUUCUGCCAUUAUGUUGCAGAUAGACGUAACAUUAAAAGACACCUGCGCACUCAUACCGGAGAGCGUCCGUUCAGCUGUUAUCAUUGCAAUUCAAGGUUUUCACAAAAGGUACAUUUAACUAAACAUAUUGCGUGCAAGCAUAAAGAACUUUACCUUAAAUACUUUUAAAAAAAAAUUAACCUAUCAAAAAUAAAUGCUGAUUUAACUAUCUUCAACAUCAGCAUAUUAAUUUUUAAGUGUUUAAAUAUAUAUAUAUGAAUUGUAUUUUGCUGUAUAAUAAAAUUACAAUAUAUGCAAAAA